This is a long non-coding RNA of Parus major (Great Tit), 331 nucleotides long. RefSeq lists it as uncharacterized. The record is from RefSeq and is a predicted model, not a curated record. Lineage: Eukaryota; Metazoa; Chordata; Aves; Passeriformes; Paridae. The transcript has 2 exons.
UACGGGGCCUCCUGAGCGUCAGGCACGGCGUGGGGCAGCCCGUAGGGGGCCUUGCGGUCGGGCGGGGUCGACGGUGCCGGGAGCGACCGGGCCGGAGGUACCGGGUGAGGCCUGAGGGGCUCGGGGAUUCCCGGCAGGGCUGUUUACCUGUGUGAGGUGUGUUGGUCCUGGUGGCUCCACUGGUGCCAUCCCUCGCUCUGGACUGGUCAGGGAAUUCCAGAAUUCCCAAAUUCCCGUCAGGAGGGACCUUCCAGCGCCAUUCCACCGCAGAUUUCAUGCAGCAUUUUUGGGUUUCCGUGUUGGUUUUUAUAAAUUCUGUGAAUUCCUGGAA